Molecule: unclassified non-coding RNA, 373 nt
Filed under: soil metagenome
Description: partial contains 5.8S ribosomal RNA, internal transcribed spacer 2, and large subunit ribosomal RNA
Rfam family: 5.8S ribosomal RNA (bases 1-120)
Source: RNAcentral
GAUGAAGAACGCAGCGAAAUGCGAUAAGUAAUGUGAAUUGCAGAAUUCAGUGAAUCAUCGAAUCUUUGAACGCACAUUGCGCCCUUUGGUAUUCCGAAGGGCAUGCCUGUUCGAGCGUCAUUAUCACCCCUCAAGCCCCCGGCUUGGUGUUGGACGGUUUGGCGGAGGCCCUCCGGGGCCCUUGCCCCUCCCAAAGACAAUGACGGCGGCCUCGUUGGACCCCCGGUACACUGAGUUCUUUACGGGACACGUACUGGAGUAAGGGUGCGCGGGGCACGGUCUGCCUCCCCUCAGGGAGAAUCUUUUUUUACAAGGUUGACCUCGGAUCAGGUAGGGAUACCCGCUGAACUUAAGCAUAUCAAUAAGCGGAGGA